AAUCAAAUGAUGAACGAGUUUUUAAAUUGAGUUUGAGCGCCCUAAUCAAGUGCUCUAACUCGCUCCAUGGAGUCUUUGGAUUUUAUGGAUGUGGGGCAUUGAGAAGACGACCUCGCUCUUUCACCACCUUUUUGGGGUCGAAUGUUGUUCUGAGAUUUUGUUUCGUUGUGUAAAUAGUAACAGUAGCUAUUUAAGUUUAAAUAAUCGAGUUUUUCAAUUUAUAUUUUUGUUUUUAUAAUGUGAAUAAUACUUUAUGCGGCAUCAAUUUUUUAAAUUGCAUGCUUUGAAGU
Schizosaccharomyces pombe (fission yeast) is the source of this 290-nucleotide non-coding RNA. Lineage: Eukaryota; Fungi; Ascomycota; Schizosaccharomycetes; Schizosaccharomycetales; Schizosaccharomycetaceae. The record is from the annotation of a GenBank genome assembly.